GACAAAUCCAAAACCACGGGAGCGCCCAGAAAAUUUGUCAACAACUACCUUGGCCUCGACAAGAUGGCCAAACUUUUCAAACGCCUCUUUGAGACCUCUGUCAGAUGUUGACCAAGAAAGGCCGCCAAUAAAGCAGCGAUACUCCACCUCGUCAGCCAUUAUGAGAGAAUUUAUGAAGAAGGGAAGCCCUAGGAAUUGGAUUCCGUAGCGAGAGAACCUAAAAGAUGGAGAAGGCAAAGUGAGGGUGAG
Molecule: unclassified non-coding RNA, 249 nt
Filed under: Hevea brasiliensis (rubber tree)
Lineage: Eukaryota; Viridiplantae; Streptophyta; Magnoliopsida; Malpighiales; Euphorbiaceae
Source: RNAcentral